GACGUAGGGGGCGAGCGUUGUCCGGAUUUAUUGGGCGUAAAGAGCUCGUAGACGGCUCAGAAAGUCGGGUGUGAAACCUCCAGGCUCAACCUGGAGACGCCACCUGAUACUGCUGUGGCUAGAGUCCGGUAGGGGAACACGGAAUUCCCGGUGUAGCGGUGAAAUGCUUAGAUAUCGGGAGGAACACCAGUGGCGAAGGCGGUGUUCUGGGCCGGAACUGACGCUGAGGAGCGAAAGCGUGGGUAGCAAACAGG
Molecule: ribosomal RNA, 254 nt
Filed under: uncultured bacterium
Lineage: Bacteria
Description: partial 16S ribosomal RNA
Rfam family: Bacterial small subunit ribosomal RNA
Source: RNAcentral